AAAGAAAUUCUAGAACGCAACGAGUUUGCCGCUUUGCAAAGUGGGGGCUUCCCUUGGAGGCAGCAGAAUGCAGAGACGUUCAGGAGAAACCACAGUUCUUCGGAACACACGGAUGCGGCCGUGCUGGGUGGAAGCCAUUUUGGCUGAGAAGUGAUCUCUUUCCUGACAACAAGAAUGGUGGAGAUGUGAGCAUUGGACCGAGCUCCAUCCAAAUUCCCCCAAAAGAAACUUCUCCCAUUUAAUGCCUGAGCAAAUAUUUCA
This is a long non-coding RNA of Ornithorhynchus anatinus (platypus), 261 nucleotides long. RefSeq lists it as uncharacterized. Lineage: Eukaryota; Metazoa; Chordata; Mammalia; Monotremata; Ornithorhynchidae. The record is from RefSeq and is a predicted model, not a curated record. The transcript is spliced from 2 exons.